AUUGAACGCUGGCGGCAGGCCUAACACAUGCAAGUCGAACGAGUGGCGCACGGGUGAGUCACGUCUGGGAAACUGCGCUAAGGAGGGGGAUAACUACUGGAAACGGUACUUAUUACCGCAUACCAUCGGAUGUUCCCAGAGGGGAUUAGCUAGUAGGUGGGGUAACGGCUAACCUAGGCGACGAUCCCUAGCUGGUCUGAGAGGGUGACAAGCCACACUGGGACUGAGACACGGUCCAGACUCCUACGGGAGGCAGCAGUGGGGAAGAUUGCACAAUGGGCGCAAGCCUGAUGCAGCCAUGCCGCGUGUAUGAAGAAGGCCUUCGGGUUGUAAAGUACUUUCAGCGGGGAGGCGUUACUCGCAGAAGAAGCACCGGCUAACUCCGUGCCAGCAGCCGCGGUAAUAC
RNAcentral lists this ribosomal RNA (406 nucleotides) under uncultured bacterium. RNAcentral describes it as "partial 16S ribosomal RNA". It matches the Rfam family "Bacterial small subunit ribosomal RNA", at positions 30 to 526 of the family's 1533-position model. The record is from RNAcentral.